ACCUGGGUAGUUUAAGUAGAAUAUAACGUUGAAAGCGUUAAGGUGCUCUGCCCCAAGUG
RNAcentral lists this transfer RNA (59 nucleotides) under Proasellus coxalis. RNAcentral describes it as "transfert RNA-F(TTC)". Lineage: Eukaryota; Metazoa; Arthropoda; Malacostraca; Isopoda; Asellidae. The record is from RNAcentral.